GACGAACGCUGGCGGCGGGCUUAACACAUGCAAGUCGAACGGAAAGGCCCUGCUUUUGUGGGGUGCUCGAGUGGCGAACGGGUGAGUAACACGUGAGUAACCUGCCCUCGACUUUGGGAUAACUUCAGGAAACUGGGGCUAAUACCGGAUAGGAGCUCCUGCUGCAUGGUGGGGGUUGGAAAGUUUCGGCGGUUGGGGAUGGACUCGCGGCUUAUCAGCUUGUUGGUGGGGUAGUGGCUUACCAAGGCUUUGACGGGUAGCCGGCCUGAGAGGGUGACCGGCCACAUUGGGACUGAGAUACGGCCCAGACUCCUACGGGAGGCAGCAGUGGGGAAUAUUGCACAAUGGGCGGAAGCCUGAUGCAGCAACGCCGCGUGCGGGAUGACGGCCUUCGGGUUGUGAACCGCUUUCGCCUGUGACGAAGCGUGAGUGACGGUAAUGGGUAAAGAAGCACCGGCUAACUACGUG
RNAcentral lists this ribosomal RNA (468 nucleotides) under uncultured bacterium. RNAcentral describes it as "partial 16S ribosomal RNA". It matches the Rfam family "Bacterial small subunit ribosomal RNA", at positions 28 to 507 of the family's 1533-position model. The record is from RNAcentral.